This 500-nucleotide ribosomal RNA is filed under the name uncultured bacterium. RNAcentral's name for it is "partial 16S ribosomal RNA". It matches the Rfam family "Bacterial small subunit ribosomal RNA", at positions 30 to 523 of the family's 1533-position model. The record is from RNAcentral.
AUUGAACGCUGGCGGAAUGCUUUACACAUGAAAGUCGAACGGCAGCACGGACUUCGGUCUGGUGGCGAGUGGCGAACGGGUGAGUAAUGUAUCGGAACGUGCCCAGUCGUGGGGGAUAACGUAGUGAAAAUUACGCUAAUACCGCAUACGAUCUAUGGAGGAAAGCGGGGGAUCGCAACACCUUGACAGAUUGGAGCGGCCGAUAUCAGAUUAGGUAGUUGGUGGGGUAAAGGCCCACCAAGCCAACGAUCUGUAGCUGGUCUGAGAGGACGACCAGCCACACUGGAACUGAGACACGGUCCAGACUCCUACGGGAGGCAGCAGUGGGGAAUUUUGGACAAUGGGCGAAAGCCUGAUCCAGCCAUUCCGCGUGCAGGAUGAAGGCCCUCGGGUUGUAAACUGCUUUUGUACAGAACGAAAAGGUUUCUACUAAUACUAGGAGCUCAUGACGGUACUGUAAGAAUAAGCACCGGCUAACUACGUGCCAGCCGCCGCGGUAA